AAAGAGAACGAUGACCUCUUUGUGUGGCUGAGGUUCCAGGCUCGGAGAGGCAUGGCCGAGGCUCAGCAAGCGGUGAGCAGGAUGUUGUUCUGGGGGCAGCAAGGAAUCUCCAGCAAGCUGAAGGAAGCGGUGAAGUUCUACGAGAAAGGAGCCGCUCGGCUCAAAGACCCCACCCUGAUGUACGACUAUGGAGUGGUGCUUCUGAAGGGCCACGGAGUGAAGCAGGAUAUCCCCAAAGC
Molecule: long non-coding RNA, 239 nt
Organism: Eublepharis macularius
Lineage: Eukaryota; Metazoa; Chordata; Lepidosauria; Squamata; Eublepharidae
Exons: 3
Source: RefSeq, a predicted model, not a curated record